UACGGAGGGGGCUAGCGUUGUUCGGAAUUACUGGGCGUAAAGCGCGCGUAGGCGGCUUUGUAAGUUAGAGGUGAAAGCCCGGAGCUCAACUCCGGAACUGCCUUUAAGACUGCAUCGCUAGAAUUGUGGAGAGGUGAGUGGAAUUCCGAGUGUAGAGGUGAAAUGCGCAGAUAUCAGGAGGAACACCAGUGGCGAAGGCGCCACUCUGGGCCGUAACUGACGCUGAGGAGCGAAAGCGUGGGUAGCAAACAGG
RNAcentral lists this ribosomal RNA (253 nucleotides) under uncultured bacterium. RNAcentral's name for it is "partial 16S ribosomal RNA". It matches the Rfam family "Bacterial small subunit ribosomal RNA", at positions 524 to 776 of the family's 1533-position model. The record is from RNAcentral.